This 218-nucleotide unclassified non-coding RNA is filed under the name uncultured Boletaceae. RNAcentral describes it as "sequence contains ITS2". Lineage: Eukaryota; Fungi; Basidiomycota; Agaricomycetes; Boletales; Boletaceae. The record is from RNAcentral.
AUUUCUCAACCACCCGAUCCUUGUGGAUCUCGUGGCUUGGACUUGGGAGUUGCUGGUCUUUCCAGAUCAGCUCUCCUGAAAUGCAUUAGCAGAAGUGGUCGAGGCGAGUUUUCGGCGUGCACGGCCUUUGACGUGAUAAUUCAUCGUCAUGGCUGGAGCGUCUUUGGACUACGUAUUAGACUUUCUUUGCUUCCAACGAAAACCCAGUCAAGCUUAGC